UACGGGGGGAGCAAGCGUUGUUCGGAUUUACUGGGCGUAAAGGGCGCGUAGGCGGUCGUGACAAGUCACUUGUGAAAUCUCCGGGCUUAACUCGGAACGGUCAAGUGAUACUGUCGGACUAGAGUACAGAAGGGGCAACUGGAAUUCUCGGUGUAGCGGUGAAAUGCGUAGAUAUCAUUUGGAACGCCAAUGGUGAAAACAGGUAGCUGGGGCUGUGCUGACACUGAGACACGAAAGCCAGGGGAGCAAACGGG
This 254-nucleotide ribosomal RNA is filed under the name uncultured bacterium. RNAcentral's name for it is "partial 16S ribosomal RNA". It matches the Rfam family "Bacterial small subunit ribosomal RNA", at positions 524 to 776 of the family's 1533-position model. The record is from RNAcentral.